GAUUACAACUGGUACUAGUAUGCAAGUCGAGCGGACAGAAGGGAGCUUGCUCCCGGAUGUUAGCGGCGGACGGGUGAGUAACACGUGGGUAACCUGCCUGUAAGACUGGGAUAACUCCGGGAAACCGGAGCUAAUACCGGAUAGUUCCUUGAACCGCAUGGUUCAAGGAUGAAAGACGGUUUCGGCUGUCACUUACAGAUGGACCCGCGGCGCAUUAGCUAGUUGGUGAGGUAACGGCUCACCAAGGCGACGAUGCGUAGCCGACCUGAGAGGGUGAUCGGCCACACUGGGACUGAGACACGGCCCAGACUCCUACGGGAGGCAGCAGUAGGGAAUCUUCCGCAAUGGACGAAAGUCUGACGGAGCAACGCCGCGUGAGUGAUGAAGGUUUUCGGAUCGUAAAGCUCUGUUGUUAGGGAAGAACAAGUGCAAGAGUAACUGCUUGCACCUUGACGGUACCUAACCAGAAAGCCACGGCUAACUACGUGCCAGCAGCCGCGGUAAUACGUAGGUGGCAAGCGUUGUCCGGAAUUAUUGGGCGUAAAGGGCUCGCACGCGGUUUCUUAAGUCUGAUGUGAAAGCCCCCGGCUCAACCGGGGAGGGGCAUUGGAAACUGGGAAACUUGAGUGCAGAAGAAGAGAGUGGAAUUUCACGUGUAGCGGUGAAAUGCGUAGAGAUGUGGAGGAACACCAGUGGCGAAGCGACUCUCUGGUCUGUAACUGACGCUGAGAGCGAAAGCGUGGGGAGCGAACAGAUUAGAUACCCUGGUAGUCCACGCCGUAAACGAUGAGUGCUAAGUGUUAGGGGUUUCCGCCCCCUUACGCUGCAGCUAACGCAUUAGCCCUCCGCCUGGGGGAGUACGGUCGCAGACUGAAACUCCACAAUGACGGGGGCCGCCCAGCCGUGGACCCGUGGUUUACUCGUAACACGCCAAGAAACUUACAGGCCUG
Molecule: ribosomal RNA, 950 nt
Filed under: Bacillus pumilus
Lineage: Bacteria; Bacillati; Bacillota; Bacilli; Caryophanales; Bacillaceae
Description: bacterial SSU rRNA
Rfam family: Bacterial small subunit ribosomal RNA
Source: RNAcentral